GAGACAGCAGUAGCCCGGUAAUACGGAGGGUGCAAGCGUUAAUCGGAAUUACUGGGCGUAAAGCGCACGCAGGCGGUCUGUCAAGUCAGAUGUGAAAUCCCCGGGCUUAACCUGGGAACUGCAUUUGAAACUGGCAGGCUAGAGUCUUGUAGAGGGGGGUAGAAUUCCAGGUGUAGCGGUGAAAUGCGUAGAGAUCUGGAGGAAUACCGGUGGCGAAGGCGGCCCCCUGGACAAAGACUGACGCUCAGGUGCGAAAGCGUGGGGAGCAAACAGGAUUAGAUACCCCUGUAGUCCCUGUCUCUUAUACA
This 308-nucleotide ribosomal RNA is filed under the name uncultured bacterium. RNAcentral describes it as "partial 16S ribosomal RNA". It matches the Rfam family "Bacterial small subunit ribosomal RNA", at positions 505 to 808 of the family's 1533-position model. The record is from RNAcentral.